Molecule: ribosomal RNA, 253 nt
Filed under: uncultured bacterium
Lineage: Bacteria
Description: partial 16S ribosomal RNA
Rfam family: Bacterial small subunit ribosomal RNA
Source: RNAcentral
UACAGAGGUCUCAAGCGUUGUUCGGAUUCAUUGGGCGUAAAGGGUGCGUAGGCGGCGCGGUAAGUCGGGUGUGAAAUCUCGGAGCUUAACUCCGAAACUGCAUUCGAUACUGCCGUGCUUGAGGACUGGAGAGGAGACUGGAAUUUACGGUGUAGCGGUGAAAUGCGCAGAUAUCGGGAGGAACACCAAUGGCGAAGGCAGCUCGCUGGGACGUUACUGACGCUGAGACGCGAAAGCGUGGGGAGCAAACAGG